GUGAGAUUGGCGGAAACGAUCAGUUCGAAGUGCGUGUCUCGCGGUUUAGGACGUGGUUUAUUCGGGUCCCGGUUUUUCAUUGAGGAGAGAUUGUUCGUCGGACUUUAUUGGCGUCCCAACAUGAGGAAAACGAAAGGAUCAAGGAGGAACACAAAUAUGGAAGAGUCUUCCUGUUCAAAAGAAAUCAAUGUGAGCCGAUCAUCACCAACGGCUGCACGAGAGAAAGCCACUCCUUGGAAGCAUAUGAAGCACAAGUUUCCAAGACAUGAAAGGAAGGGCAAUGGUUGUGGUGACGUUGGUCAUAACAUGGAAGGAAAGAUGAGUGAGUCUUCCCAUUCAGAAGACAUCGGUGUGAAUCAGUCAUCCACAUCAAUUAAUCCAAACAGAGCACCACUUUGGAAACGUCUGAAGUUUUUGUUCAGGAGACACAAAAAGAAGAAGGCUUGCAGUGACUCUGGAUGCAUCAUGGAAGGAAAUAUGAAUGAGUCUUCCCAUUCAGAAGACAUCUUUGUGGAUCAGUCAUCCACAUCAACGAAUCCAAAAAAAGCAUCUGUUUCGAUACGUCUGAAGAGACACGAAAAGAAGGAGAAGACUUGCAGUGAUGAUGAAUAUAUCACGGAAGGAAAUAUGAACGAGUCUUCCCAUUCAGAAGACAUCAUUGUGGAUCAGUUAUCCCCAUCAAUGAAUCCAAACAGAGCAUCACUUUGGAAACAUCGAGAGGAAGGAAAGAUGAGUGAGUCUUCCCAUUCAGAAGACAUCGGUGUGAAUCAGUCAUUCACAUCAAUGCAUCCAAAAAAAGCAUCGCUUUGGGAACGUCUGAAGCUUUUGUUCAUUAGACGUCAAAAGAAGGGCAACGCUUGUAAUAAAGGACAGAUCACGUUUAAAGUCAACAAAUAUGAAUACAUGAAGAAGAAGAAGAAGAAGAAGAAGAAGAAGGGUUUUGAAUAUAAACGCAAGUUUCGUUGCUUGGUGGUAAGAGAAAAUAUUCCUUCUGGAUGUCGUGACCUGAAAUGUAUCUGAAUGAGAAAUGGUAUUCCCUUGAAAGGAGAUUAAAGCUAACCUUGUCAUGUUUCAGGUCAUCUUCCAUCUGCUUGGAAGCCAGCUUAUAUCACCUCCGUUAACCAAUCUUGCUGCUUAUGUAUGGCACGAGCAAAAAUCACUUCUGCUUCACUGUGAAGCUCAGUGUUGGAUCCUUUUGUUUAAACCUCCCCUUAAAAUGAAUGAAAUUGAACAUUUUGAAUUAUUUUCACUCAGAUUUCAACAUCACCGUAAUGCAUAUCAUCAAG
This 1286-nucleotide long non-coding RNA is filed under the name Eptatretus burgeri (inshore hagfish). RNAcentral describes it as "lncRNA (ENSEBUG00000017348.1)". The record is from RNAcentral. Lineage: Eukaryota; Metazoa; Chordata; Myxini; Myxiniformes; Myxinidae.